This 37-nucleotide non-coding RNA is filed under the name Myotis davidii. Its description in RNAcentral is "XIST RNA A repeat". It matches the Rfam family "XIST RNA A repeat". The record is from Rfam by way of RNAcentral. Lineage: Eukaryota; Metazoa; Chordata; Mammalia; Chiroptera; Vespertilionidae.
UUGUCCAUCGGGGCUGCAGAUACCUGCUUAGAUUUUU